AUCCAAAAUCUUUCCCGAGUAAGUCUAUCCUCCCUAGACCAAGCAGAGUUGUGGUCAAUGAUAGUAAUGGUCAGUCGAUUGAGAUCUGCCUUAGUGUGGCCAGGGGAUCUCAAAUGUCGACUAAGAGGGAGGUCUGGCUUGCAUUGGUAGUCGCUACGAUGACCGUUCAUUCGUUUGUGAAACGGCUGUUCUGACUCGCCUACAUACUGUUUACCACAUUUACACUGUAGGAGAUACACAACAUUUGUAGUCUUGCAAUUAACAUUGCAAAAUAUGGUGUAUUCUGUACCAGUGGAGUGACUGUUAAAAGUCUGGGUAUCCAGUAUUUGUUUGCAAGUCAGACAUCGUUUGUUUCCACAACCCUUACAAGAGCCCACUGACGAAGAGCCUGCUUGAGAGGAUAACUCAGCUCUCACCAGCAAGUCUUUAAGGCUUUUGGGCCUGCGGAAAGCCAGUACAGGUGGCUCGGGAAAGAUCUUGGAUAGUUUAGGAUGUUUUUCGAUAUCUUUCCAACUUUCGCGGAUAAGGUGAGACAAGUUGUCAAAUUUUGGAUUGUAAGUCAACACAAAAGGCACCCUCCUGUUGACCUUUUUGACUUUAUAUUGUAAAAGUUCAUCUCGGCUGAUGUUGCUAGCACGAGAAAAACCUUUAUCAAUGUCUUUCCUUUUGUAGCCUCGAUGUUUUAGGUGACCGCGAAGUUCUUGUAGUCGUUUUUUGGCAACAUCGUUGGUGGAGCAAAUCCUUUUUAUUCGUAUGGCCUGGCUGUAGGGAAUGCUCUUGGUGCAAUGUUUAGGGUGACAACUUGAAGGAGACAGAUAUUGAUGUUUGUCUGUGGGCUUGCAAUACAGAUCUGUAAAUAUGUUUCCAUCCCUCACUUGCGUUGUAGUGUCAAGAAAUGUGAUCUUAGAGUCAGAGAUUUCAUAUGUGAAUUUUAUUGAGGGAUGGGCAUCGUUGGCAUGUUGAAUAAACAAAUCUAGUUCUUGUUCAGUAUUAUCCCACUUCAUGUCAAUAUCGUCAAUAAAUCGGAACCAAGAGAGGGGUUGAUAAAGAAAAGAAUUGAGAAUUCUCUGUUCUAAUUUCCCCAUAAAAAUAUUGGCAUAAGACGGGGCCAUCUUUGUUCCCAUUGCUGUUCCAUUAACUUGGAGAAAGUGUUCACCAUUGAAUGUGAAGUUAUUGCAUUUUAAAAACCAAAGUUAGAAGCUGGAUGAGACAUUCAGUUGGUGGAUGUAAGGUGUUACGAGAGUUCCAGACUUCCCUACAGGCUUCAAUACCAUCAUCAUGGGGGAUAUUAGUAUAGAGGGAGGUAACAUCAAGCGAGACAAGGAUCGUUUCAGGUGGGAGAGGGUUCAAAGAUUCCAUUUUUUUAAGAUAAUGUGUUGUGUCUUGUAUAUAUGAUGGUAAAUUUUCUACGUGUGGUCGGAGAUGAAAGUCAAUAAAUUCUGAUAUUUUCUCUGUAGGGUGGUCAUUAUUUAAAGCAUAUAUGUGAACUCUCUGAUGUAAUUAGUCAUAUAACCUAUGUCAUAUUCAACAAAUUUUAGAAUGGUGCAAAGCGUCUUAACUGAUGUUCGGUUUGCCUUUUUUAUUGUAUAAAUUUCAAGAUUUAGUAAAAGUUUAAUCUAUUAAGAAGACUUAAAGAUGAUUCAUUUAACAUCAGAAUCUGACUGACGAAGGAUAUCUGUUAUCCGAAAUAUUUAUAAAUAAUUACAUUUAUAGUUCCUUUUUAUAUCAUUGGUGUUGUUAUGUACACUUUUUAGGCGUUUAUAUAUGUAGGACUCUAAAGUGCGAUGGGGACGCUAAAGUACGAUGGUCACGCUAAAGUGCGAUGGUCUACGCUAAAGCACGAUUCCUCCAUACGCUAAAGUGCGAUGGUCCGCGAAAGUAUAGACGAAAGAAUUGUACCUGGAUUAUGACGUUAACAGUCGUUUAUACAAACCAAAAAUGUAUAUGCCGGAACAUAAAUUAAGAACAUUUGAUUCACAACUUUUAAACCCAAAUGUCCAUGAUUUAAUUUCAGACCUAACCGUGCUCGUCGGCUGAAGCAACUGGUGUUGAUUUAUUUCGGAUGCUGGAAGAGGCUUGUGUCCUGAGUCGACGACCAUUUUACUUUAUGAACCGUGCUAGAGAUAGGUUGAAAAUAGUAUACGGCAUGAGGUAUCGUAGAUCCUGCUUCUAUUGGCAGCGAACGGAUGCACUGAAGUUUUUGUUUACAAUUCCGUUUACAUUGCAGGUGCCGUUAAAAUAUUCUGAUUUUUGAAUAAGUAACGUCAGGAAAAUAAGGUUCAUUGUUUUUCAGGUAAGUUAUAGAAUUGUCGGCUAAAACAUAGUUUGUAGUGCAGGAAAUAUAACAUGUCUUUUUUACGCGGAAAAAGAGAAGGCUCGAGAAUAUCGCUUUCCUCGCGAUUUAAGAAUAAAGCUAACAGCCUUUGUACAAAUAAUGUUACUUGAAUUGUAUGCAGGACAUGUGGUCGGUCUUAUAAAUUAUAGAACGUAUUACUAUAUAAGGCUUACGAUAAAGUCAUAAAGCCUUAAUUGUGUAUCUUAGCAUUCUAGGCUUUUUUCAAUAGACUAUUUUUUUUUUUUUAAAUCAUGUAUUGUUAAUCAGUUUUAACGUGAUCUUAUCAUAUUGUCAUGCAUUUAGCGUGAUAUAAUCAUCGUAUUUAAAACAAACACAUCGACUUAUGCGUGAGAACAUCGUACUUUAGCGUAGACAUCGCACUUUAGGCUGUGACCAUGCACUUUAGAGUACAUCGGACUUUAGAGUGCUACAUAUAUAUAUAUAUAUAU
Molecule: long non-coding RNA, 2784 nt
Filed under: Mytilus galloprovincialis (Mediterranean mussel)
Lineage: Eukaryota; Metazoa; Mollusca; Bivalvia; Mytilida; Mytilidae
Source: RNAcentral